Vicia villosa (hairy vetch) is the source of this 3959-nucleotide RNA transcript. RefSeq lists it as uncharacterized. The record is from RefSeq and is a predicted model, not a curated record. NCBI's taxonomy places the organism in Eukaryota, Viridiplantae, Streptophyta, Magnoliopsida, Fabales, Fabaceae. The transcript has 3 exons.
UUUCGCUCCUAACAAAAACUUUUCUAUCCCAAACAAAUCUAAAAUCAAAAUAGAUUAUCAAAACUCGUUUUCUCUCAUGUUCUCACCGCUGUUUUGAUUUUCCUUACCGUUCUCCUGCUUCACGUGUUGCCAUCCUCACAUCAGAAACAAUUGUUUAUCUUAGUGGUUUGUGAUGAGUCUUGCCCUAAUUACUCUUGUUAUCAUUCUUCCUUUGACAAUUAGGUAUUUAAAACAAGGGAUUUUGCUUUGUAAUCGACAUCAAGGUCUGAAGCUUCAGGUACAAAACUAACCCUAAAAUUCUUUACCUGUCACUCUGUUUGAAGAUCGAUCUGAUUUAAUAAUUUCCACUCUAUAUAAAUAAAUUUUUAAAAUGUGAAAAUCUUUCUUAUACUAGUAGUUGCUGAAAAUAUAAGUUCUGUAAAAAAUUAUGUAUACUGGUUUUGAGUGUUGCGGAAAAAGCAGGAUUUACUGUGGUUCGGUUAGGUUAGUUCAAUUUAUUACAUAGAUUUUUCGUUUUCAUCUUCUGGGUUUCUAAGUUGCAGAUCUGAUCUCUGAUUGUAGUUUUUUCACAAAAUACACUUAAGAGGUUCAUCUUUUUUGUAUAGCUCUUAGUUUUGCAUUAGAUUUGGUAGAAUUAUGGUGGCAUAGUAGGGUUGUAACACACAGUGGAGGGAUAACAUUACACAAAUUUCAGAAGAAGAAAUUCACUUAGAUCUUGUUUUUAGAAUAUAACAGGAGAAGAAGUUAACAAGCAAAAGUAUCAAGUGAAAUGGUAUGUGUUGAUUGGUUGCUUACACACCAUGUUGUAGGAAAAAUCAAGUGAGAAAAAGAAGUUUAUUUGUCUCUGGAUUUUUAGAAAAUAGCAGUAGAAGAAAUUGAUGAGCAAUUAGCAAACAUAUGCUUUAGAGAGAGAGAAGUGAUUUCAAUUAGAUUUUAUCUAAACAAUGUGUGGUGGAGUGUAGAACUAGAAACUAAUGAAAAGUGGAAAAGCAGAAAAUAAAAGUUUGGGUAAAUGAAUCUUUGAGAAGGUUAAUUAAUAAAAUAGUUGAAUUGUCACUUCAACUUUCCAAAGCAAAGGACAUUAUUCUGUCAAAAUUCAGAGUAUUAAUUGUUUUGUUCAAUCAAUAUAGUCAUAGUAAAUUUUGAGUUUCGAGAUCUUUUCAUUUAAUAUAUUAUUAUUUAAUUAUUAUUAAACUUGUAGAUAACAACUAAAGAGUUGUCAAUUAUACUACAUCAUGUAAACCGAUUUAGAACCAAACCAAAUCAUAUGUAAACCGGUUUUAAAAAAAUAAACCGGUUUUAGUAAAACAGUUUUGAGAUCCAAACCAAACCAUAUAUGUUGUCGGUUAAACCGGUUUUUAUUGUUGGUUAAAUCAGUUUGGAUUGGAUUCGGUUUUUUGUCCACCCCUACUUAUCUUCUUGUAUUGAAAUGAAAUUAAAAAGAACUCACUCAAUUUUUUUUUCAAUUUCAUUAUAGUUAUAGAUUAUAUUUAUAUUUCUUACCUUGUCCUCUAGAUUUUCAUGUUUACAAAUUAUAGUUAUAUAUUAUAUUAAAUAUUAUCACAUUCCCUGUUAGAGGAUUAUUAUUUAAACAACUAAAUCCAUUUGUUUUCAUCUCACAUAAUACCUUUCCCUAGCUAAGCAAUGGAAUACUCAUCAAAUUUGUGAAACACCAUGGCCCAGCACCUACUUAUCGAAUUUGUGUUCAAAAGAAGGUCAAAAUUUGAUAGUUGUUUAGGAAAAUGUAUCUAGUAUUAGCCAAUCGGAUUCAUCAUAGAAACACUCUAAUCAACCUAUUUAUAAUUUAAUAGCUUAUAUGUUUGGAUCUUAGUUCACUACUGAUGGAAGAGCUUAUAUGUUAGAAAUUUUGGAAUUUUAGAAAAUGAUCUACGGACUUAUAAUUUUAAGAAGGGAUUUUUUUAUUCUUUAUGGCAAUGAUACUACCUAGAAAUCAUGUUGGAUAUUUUUUUAUUUAUUAAAAAAAAUAUCUGAUUUAUAAAAUUCCACUCAAUAUUAGUGUAAUAAAUAUUUGUCUGGCUGUGAUUUGGAAUAGAAAAUAGAAAAAUAUAAUUGUUUUUUGAUUUGGUAUAUCUUGAAUAACUGUUGCACUGGCUCUUUCAUUUGUUUUUGUUAAUUAAAUGGAAAUGUUUCAGUUAAUUUUGUCAAAUGGAGUCUAGAGAGUGGAUCCUUGAUCUAUCAAAACAAAGUGAAGAAUAUAUUCGAGGGGUUAAUGAAUUUCUUGAAUUUGCUUUUCAAAAGUCUGAAGAAAAUGAAAAAAUACUGUGUCCUUGUAUAAAAUGUGCCAACUGUAAGUCACAUACUCGCUCAAGUGUUUAUGAACACUUAAUUAAUUUGCGUCGUGGAUUCCUUAGAGGUUAUACACAAUGGAUAUUUCAUGGUGAGAAACCCAUAACUUCAAGUGACACCAAUGAACAACAUUUUGAAAUGGGGCAUGAUAUGGAUGGGUUAAUUCAUGAUGGUUUUGCAAUGCCUACAUUUUCUGGUGAAGGUAAAAGGAAUCCAGAAGUAGGAGAAAAUGUUAAAUUUUACAAAUUGGUGAAAGAGAAUGAGCAAUUUCUAUAUCCAAAUUGUAAGAAGUAUAGCAAACUAUCCUUUGCAUUUAUAUCUUUUAAAGUGUCUUCAUGGGUGGAGCGACAAGUCAGUUUCUAUGUUAUUAGAUUUAUUGAGAGAUGCUCUACCAGAAGGAAAUGUUUUACCAAAGUCAUACUAUGAAACAAAGAAGAUGAUUUUAGGGUUAGGAAUGGGGUAUGAAAAGAUCCAUGCUUGUCCCAAUGAUUGCCUAUUGUAUUGGGAUAAACAUAUCAAUGACCAAAUAUGUUAAAAGUGUGGUACUUCAAGGUGGAAAACAACAAAUGAGGAUGUACAAGCUAAUGGAAAAGAGACUUCUGAAAAGCGGAAGAACUUACCCGCAAAAAUCCUUCGUUGGUUUCCUUUAAAACCAAGGUUGUAGAGGUUAUUCAUGUCAUCUAAAAUAUCUGAAUCAAUGAGAUGGCACCAUGAGAGUAGAUUGAAUGAUGGUUCUCUUAGGCAUCCGGCUGAAUCACUUGCUUGGAAGGAAUUUAACUCCUGAUAUCCAACAUUUUCGUUAGAUCCACGUAAUGUUCGAUUAGGGGUGGCUUCUGAUGGAUUUAAUCCUUUUUAGACUAUGUGUAUAACUCAUAGCAGUUGGCCUACCAUCCUAAUUCCUUAUAAUCUUCCUCAAUUGAGAAAAGCAGCAAGAUUGAUUUGUCAACACUUUUGUUCAGUUAUAUAUAGAUUUGCUGGAGAAGAUGUGAAUGACAUUUUACGAGCUGCAAGACAGGUAACAAAUGCUUCUAGUUCCCCUGACCAAAGGAAUUCUCCAAGUCCUUCCACUAACGAAGAUCAAAGAGAGAAAGGAGUGAAGACCCAUUUUGGUCCCUCACAAAAACUACAGAACCCAAAUUAGUCCUCCACAAAAAAUAGGACCCGAUUUAAUCCCUUACAAAAUAUAACCGGGUCAUAUUAGUCCUUCUGGGGAUAUUUUAUUCAAACCGGUUUUUUCUUCUACUUUUAAACCGUGACUGGACCGCCAAGUCGUAUUUUAUUUUUCAUUUUUUAAAUACUAAAUUGAUUUCUAUUUUUAAUUUCGAUUUUAUUUUUAAACAAUUUGGAUUUUAAAAUACAAAAAAAGAUAAGAUUUGUUCUGAAAAGGAAUCGAACUUAAGACAUUUAGGUCACAUCCUAUGCCUUUACCACUAUGCCAACGUACACUUGUGACAAAUAAUUCGCAUGAUUUAUAGUAAUAUUAAACAAUUAUAAAUUUAAAAUAUAAAAUAUAAAAUUUGUACCCAUGAGGUCUCAAACUCAAGUCCCUUCAAAUUUAAUGAUAGUCACUUCACUGUAAAUAUGAAAAGUGAUUUAAGAGCGGGUGAAUCAGUUAGAUUAAUCGGUAUUAGUGAAUUUUUCUCGAUUAUGAA